RNAcentral lists this ribosomal RNA (606 nucleotides) under uncultured bacterium. Its description in RNAcentral is "bacterial SSU rRNA". It matches the Rfam family "Bacterial small subunit ribosomal RNA", at positions 248 to 854 of the family's 1533-position model. The record is from RNAcentral.
GACGGCGGGGCAACGGCCCACCGUGGCGACGAUCCGCAGGGGUUCUGAGAGGAAGGUCCCCCACACUGGCACUGAGACACGGGCCAGACUCCUACGGGAGGCAGCAGUGAGGAAUAUUGGUCAAUGGGCGGGAGCCUGAACCAGCCAAGUAGCGUGCAGGACGACGGCCCUACGGGUUGUAAACUGCUUUUCCGGGAGGAUAAAGUGAGCCACGCGUGGUUCAUUGCAGGUAUCCCGGGAAUAAGGACCGGCUAAUUCCGUGCCAGCAGCCGCGGUAAUACGGAAGGUCCGGGCGUUAUCCGGAUUUAUUGGGUUUAAAGGGAGCGCAGGCGGAGAUGCAAGCGUGACGUCAAAUUUCGGGGCUCAACCCCGUCUCGCGUCGCGAACUGCGUCCCUUGGUUGCGGGAAGGGGAGGCGGAACUCGUGGUGUAGCGGUGAAAUGCAUAGAUAUCACGAAGAACUCCGAUCGCGAAGGCAGCCUCCCGGCCCGUCAACGACGCUCAUGCUCGAAGGUGCGGGUAUCAAACAGGAUUAGAUACCCUGGUAGUCCGCACAGUAAACGAUGGACACCCGCGGUUUGGCCUGUAUGGCUGAGCCGCCAAGCGA